This 864-nucleotide ribosomal RNA is filed under the name uncultured bacterium. Its description in RNAcentral is "bacterial SSU rRNA". It matches the Rfam family "Bacterial small subunit ribosomal RNA", at positions 37 to 896 of the family's 1533-position model. The record is from RNAcentral.
GGGCGGAUGCUUUACACAUGCAAGUCGAACGGAACUUAAGGGCUUGCUCUUAAGUUUAGUGGCGAACGGGUGAGUAACAUAUCGGAACGUAUCCAAUAAUGGGGGAUAACUAAGCGAAAGCUUGGCUAAUACCGCAUACGCCCUAAGGGGGAAAGCAGGGGAUCUUCGGACCUUGCGUUAAUGGAGCGGCUGAUAUCUGAUUAGCUAGUUGGUGGGGUAAAGGCCCACCAAGGCGACGAUCAGUAGCUGGUCUGAGAGGACGACCAGCCACACUGGAACUGAGACACGGUCCAGACUCCUACGGGAGGCAGCAGUGGGGAAUUUUGGACAAUGGGCGCAAGCCUGAUCCAGCCAUUCCGCGUGAGUGAAGAAGGCCUUCGGGUUGUAAAGCUCUUUCGCAAGGGAAGAAACGUUAUUGGUGAAUAACCAAUGAUAAUGACGGUACCUUGAUAAGAAGCACCGGCUAACUACGUGCCAGCAGCCGCGGUAAUACGUAGGGUGCGAGCGUUAAUCGGAAUUACUGGGCGUAAAGCGUGCGCAGGCGGUUUUGUAAGUCAGAUGUGAAAUCCCCGAGCUCAACUUGGGAACUGCGUUUGAAACUACAAGACUAGAGUAGGUCAGAGGGGGGUAGAAUUCCACGUGUAGCAGUGAAAUGCGUAGAGAUGUGGAGGAAUACCAAUGGCGAAGGCAGCCCCCUGGGAUCAUACUGACGCUCAUGCACGAAAGCGUGGGGAGCAAACAGGAUUAGAUACCCUGGUAGUCCACGCCCUAAACGAUGUCAACUAGUUGUUGGUAGAGUAAAAUCUAUGAGUAACGCAGCUAACGCGUGAAGUUGACCGCCUGGGGAGUACGAUCGCAAGAUUA